Molecule: long non-coding RNA, 729 nt
Filed under: Androctonus crassicauda
Lineage: Eukaryota; Metazoa; Arthropoda; Arachnida; Scorpiones; Buthidae
Source: RNAcentral
UCUGGAUCCUGUUUCUCCAUAAUAUGGAGUUUUGCUCUCCUAAAGUGGGGGCUGAGUGCAGCUGCCUUGUGUGCUGUUGGGUCUGCUGACAAUUAUUUGGGGAUUAUGACCGGCUCAUGGGUGGGCCUUCUAUAUACUGAUGUUUUUGGUUUGGUGUUUUUCAGUUCGAUGUUAAUGUCUAAGAAAUAUAUAUAGAUUACAAUAUAUAAAAUAUAGACUACAGUUGCUAAUCUGUUUUCUUUUAAGCAUGAGGCUGUAUCCACAGCGGCUUUUAGUUUUCUAUGGUAAGGUCCUUGAGAGCUAAUUUUGGUUGUGUGGUCUGGAUAUAGUCUUGCAGGAACUGAUCCUGUUUCUCUCUUUCUAAUAAAACACUUUUUCUCUGUUUGUCUGUUCUAGUAAUAGUGUAAUCAUUCUCCUUGAUCCAUUGGAAGUGGAGAGCAAUGUAUUACAUGGAUAACAUCCUUAGAGUAUGGAAGAACAAGACUAAGAUAGAAAAGCUCGCAGAGGCACUAACACUCAAGCCGUACGGCCUCAUGCUUAAAAGAGAACAGAUUAGCAACUGUAAUAUACAUUUCUUGGAUGUUGACAUCGAGCUGAAAAAUGCCAGGCUGGAAACGUCAGUGUGUGGAGGACCCGCUUAUGAGCCGGUCAUGAUCCCUAAAUGUUCAGCAGACUCAGCAGCAUGCACGGCGGCUGCAUUCAGUUUUUGCUUUGGGAGGGCGGGGCUCU